RNAcentral lists this ribosomal RNA (1778 nucleotides) under soil metagenome. Its description in RNAcentral is "bacterial LSU rRNA". It matches the Rfam family "Bacterial large subunit ribosomal RNA", at positions 1099 to 2925 of the family's 2925-position model. The record is from RNAcentral.
UGUUGGCUUAGAAGCAGCCACCAUUUAAAAAGUGCGUAAUAGCUUACUGGUCGAGAACAGUAGCGCCGUAAAUGAUCGGGAAUAAGCAAGAUACCGAAGCAACGGGUCCCGAGUAAUCGGGACGGUAGAAGAGCGUUGUACUCCGCGUUGAAGCCAUAUCGUGAGAAGUGGUGGAGCGUGUACAAGUGAGAAUGCCGGUAUGAGUAACGAUAAUGCAGGUGAAAAUCCUGCACGCCGAAAGCCUAAGGUUUCCUGGGGAAGGUAAAUCCGCCCAGGGUUAGUCGGAAGCUAAGACGAGGCCGAAAGGCGUAGCCGAUGGACAGCAGGUUAAUAUUCCUGCACCGGCGGUAAAGGACGAACCUCUGCAUGUAGUCUUCCAAGGUGGAUCCCCCGAUUAGACGUGGGGGUUCCGAAAGGUCGAGGCCGCUUUGUUGCCGAAGUCCAUGGCGGGAGAUUCAAGAAAAGUGCAGAGGGGACGAUACCGUUGCCCGUACUAAAACUGACACAGGUAGGCGAGGAGAAUAUCCUAAGGCGCUCGAGAGAACUGCGGUUAAGGAACUAGGCAAAUUAACCCCGUAACUUCGGGAUAAGGGGUCCCUCCUCAAUUUAUUGAGAGGGCACAGUAAGUGGCCCGGGCGACUGUUUAUCAAAAACACAGCUCUGUGCUAACUCGCAAGAGGAUGUAUACAGAGUGACGCCUGCUCGGUGCGGGAAGGUUAAGGAAGUAGGUCAAGGUUUCGACCUGAAGCUUACAACCGAAGCCCCCGUAAACGGCGGCCGUAACUAUGACGGUCCUAAGGUAGCGAAGUUCCUUGUCGGGUAAGUUCCGACGCGCAUGAACGGCGUAACGACUUGGGCGCUGUCUCAACCGCAGACUCGGUGAAAUUGAAGUGGCGGUGAAGAUACCGUCUACCCGCAGCAAGACGGAAAGACCCCAUGCACCUUUACUAUAGCCUGGUACUGACGCCGGGUUUGAACUGCGUAGGAUAGGUGGGAGGCGUUGAUCCCCUGGUUCUGGCCAGGGGGGAGCCAACGGUGAAAUACCACCCUGUUUGCAUUCGUCGUCUCACCCUGUUCCAUGAAUCUGGGCAGGGAACCGUGCUAGGUGGUUAGUUUGACUGGGGCGGUCUCCUCCAAAAGAGUAACGGAGGAGUGCAAAGACGGGCUCAGACCGGUUGGCAAUCGGUCGUCGAGCGUAUAGGUAGAAGCCCGUUUGACUGCGAGAGGGACACCUCGAGCAGAGCUGAAAGGCGGCCUAAGUGAUCCUGUGGUCCCGUGUGGAAGGGCCAUCGCUCAACGGAUAAAAGGUACGCUGGGGAUAACAGGCUGAUCGCAUCCGAGCGUCCAUAGCGGCGAUGCGGUUUGGCACCUCGAUGUCGGCUCAUCGCAUCCUGGGGCUGAAGGCGGUCCCAAGGGUUUGGCUGUUCGCCAAUUAAAGCGGUACGUGAGCUGGGUUCAGACCGAUGUGAAUCAGGUCGGUCCCUAUCUGCUGUGGGCGAAGGAACCUUGACGGCACCUCUUCCAUAGUACGAGAGGAUUUGGAAGGACGGACCCCUGGUGUACCAGUUGUCGCGCUAGCGGCAUCGCUGGGUAGCUAUGUCCGGAACGAAUAAACGCUGAAAGCAUCUAAGCGUGAAGUCUAUGCCAAGACAAGGAAUCCAUGGUCCCGAUUUAUCGGGACCGAGAGACCCCGAAUAGACCAUUCGGUUGAUAGGCCGGAGCUGUACGUGCCGAAAGGUAUUAAGGUUACCGGUACUAACGGUCGAUUGCUUGACCAC